GACGAACGCUGGCGGCAUGCCUAACACAUGCAAGUCGAACGGAGAUUAUUUCGGUAAUCUUAGUGGCGAACGGGUGAGUAACGCGUGGGCAACCUGCCCUCUAGAUGGGGACAACAUCCCGAAAGGGGUGCUAAUGCCGAAUGUGACAGCAAUCUCGCAUGAGGAUGCUGUGAAAGAUGGCCUCUAUUUAUAAGCUAUCGCUAGAGGAUGGGCCUGCGUCUGAUUAGCUAGUUGGUGGGGUAACGGCCUACCAAGGCGAUGAUCAGUAGCCGGUCUGAGAGGAUGAACGGCCACAUUGGGACUGAGACACGGCCCAGACUCCUACGGGAGGCAGCAGUGGGGAAUCUUCCGCAAUGGGCGAAAGCCUGACGGAGCAAUGCCGCGUGAGUGAUGAAGGAAUUCGUUCCGUAAAGCUCUUUUGUUUAUGACGAAUGUGCAGAUUGUGAACAAUGAUCUGUAAUGACGGUAGUAAACGAAUAAGCCACGGCUAACUACGU
RNAcentral lists this ribosomal RNA (497 nucleotides) under uncultured bacterium. Its description in RNAcentral is "partial 16S ribosomal RNA". It matches the Rfam family "Bacterial small subunit ribosomal RNA", at positions 28 to 506 of the family's 1533-position model. The record is from RNAcentral.